UGACGUCCUGGGUCACCUCGAACUGGCCGAAGGCGCCGCCGCCCUUGGCGUGGGGCUGCCGCUCCGGGAUGCGCUCCCGGUUGAAGUUGGCCAUCUGCUCGAUGAGGUAGUGAUCCUGCAGCAGGAUCGGGCCGUUGGGCCCUACCGUCAGCGAGUGCUCGACGCUCGGCGCCGGUGCACCGGCGUCGGUCGUCGUGAACUUGUCAGCCAUUGAGACUCAUCUCCUCAGUGUGGUGUGGCGGCCAUCGUGGCUGGGCCGCAACUCAGCGAGUACCCGGAAAGCGGCAGACCAAAAGGCCGAGUGUGCGGUUUCGUACGCGAAACGCGGGACGCGCGCACAAAAACCGCACACUCGGCGCUCGAGGCUUACGGGCGGGCAGGUGCCGUGGUCGACGGAGCCGCAGACGGCUGCGGAGGUUCUGGCCGGAAGCCGGGGCCUCCCGGUCCGAAGCCGGGACCCUGCCGCUCGAACCCGCCGCCCGGCCCCAUCGGGCCCAUCGGCAUCGGGAACAUCGGCGGCGGACCGCCACGAUGGACGGCCCCGAAGUCGCGGUCUCCUCCGCCGUGAUGGCCGCGGUAGCCACCACCGGAAUGUGCGCCGAGGAUGAAGCCGCUGAAGAAGACGACCGCGACGAUGAAGACGACGCCUGCCACGAUGCCGACCCACGCGGCCACCGCGUUGAGCCUCGAGCGGCGCGGCUCGCGCUCGACGUAGGCGGGUUGCGGCGAUGGAGUGGCGGUUGUCACGGGCCCCGUCGCCGGUUCAGGUGUGGACGUUGUUUCGCUCAUAACUCACGAGCAUGCAAACCCUUGUGAUGCGCUUGUAUUGAAUUGCAUAUGAAUCAGCUGUGAAUGGUGCGCCGUGCCAAAAUUGGCACAUGGCCAGCGGUCUGGUUGAGAAAUGAGCCAGGACUCGACCGUCGAGCAAGCCUUGGCGGGCGGUGCUCCGCAGCACUUCGGUUGGUACCGCUUCCACUUCUCCGACGAACGGUGGGAGUGGUCGCCGGAGGUGGCGCGCAUUCACGGCUAUGAGCCGGGGGAGGUCUCGCCGACGACUCAGCUGGUGCUGUCGCACAAGCACCCGGAGGACUACGAACAGGUCGCCGCGACGCUGGAGGAUAUCCGGCGGACGCACAGGCCGUUCAGCACCCGUCACCGCAUCAUCACCGUCGCGGGUGGGACCCGCGAAGUCGUCGUGAUCGGGGAACGCAUGCACGACAACACGGGUCGGGUGAUCGGCACGCAGGGGUUCUACAUCGACGUGACGCCUCCCGACGAGAUACAGGCGGCGAUCAUCAGCGAGGCGGUCGCCGAGAUCGCGGAGAACCGGGCUCCCAUCGAGCAGGCGAAGGGCAUUCUGAUGCUGGUCUAUCGCAUCCAGGCCGACGCCGCCUUCGACCUGCUGAAGUGGCGCUCGCAGGAGACGAACGUCAAGCUGCGGGUGUUGGCCGAACAGCUGAUCGCCGACGUCCGCGGCCUGGAAUACGGCGAAACCGUGCCCCCGCGAUCGACAUUCGACCGGCUACUGCUCACGGGGCAUCAACGCGUGCGGGCGGCGGCCGGUAGGCACACGUGAGAUCAGGAGCUGGUGCGUCGGUGUGAUUCGGCGACCGGCUUGGAUUCGGCGGAACCGCGCUGCCUCAAGAAGAUUGACAGGCCGACGAUGGCCGCGACGGCAAUGAACUCGCUCUGCCAGUUCUGCAUGGACUCGAACCAGAACUGCGAUGUCGUCAGGUAGCGCCAGAGCGAGAUGGCAGCCCGCCGUGUUGACGCUGCUCCUCGUUGAACGCCUUGACACCGCCCAUGGCGUGGAGCGCGAACGAUGCGAAGAACAGCACGAAGAACGCGAUGGCCAACGAGUGUUCGUAGAGCCGCAGUACCCAUCCGCCCUUGCGCACCGGCCAGGGCGUCCACCGGUUCGGGGUGGUGUCACGCGGAUCCUCGUCCUGGGGAGCGGGCGCGUCCAGUGGCUUCGACUCCGAGGACCCCUUCUGAUACAGGAAGGCGGUCAGCACGACGUACAUGCCCAUCUGCAGGAACUCCGAUUCCCAGUUAUCGAACGUCGCUUCGACGAAAUCACCGGUGGAGAGGUACUGCACGAUCGAAAACCUGUUCGUGGGAGCUGUGCUCCUGCUGCUCCUGGUUAUAGACGGCCCAACCCGACACGAUCAUCCCCAGAAAGAAGAGGCUGAACAGGCCGAGACAGGCCAACAGUAGGCCGUUCUCCCACAGCAGCCUCCGUACCCGACCUUGCGGCAUGCCCGCCUCCUAACCGCCGACCGAGGGCUUACCUGAAGGGUAGAAAAUCCUUCCCACCCCGCUGAUGAUUGUGGCUUCCCGGCUAUUACCCGGGCAUUGCUUGAUCAUCACGAUUACUUCAUGACGAACUCGACGACCGACGACUACGCCGAGUGGCUGCGUCUGGC
RNAcentral lists this unclassified non-coding RNA (2426 nucleotides) under uncultured fungus. Its description in RNAcentral is "sequence contains 18S rRNA gene, ITS1, 5.8S rRNA gene, ITS2, 28S rRNA gene". Lineage: Eukaryota; Fungi. The record is from RNAcentral.